UACGUAGGGUGCAAGCGUUGUCCGGAAUUAUUGGGCGUAAAGAGCUCGUAGGCGGUUUGUCGCGUCUGCUGUGAAAACUGGAGGCUCAACCUCCAGCCUGCAGUGGGUACGGGCAGACUAGAGUGCGGUAGGGGAGACUGGAAUUCCUGGUGUAGCGGUGAAAUGCGCAGAUAUCAGGAGGAACACCGGUGGCGAAGGCGGGUCUCUGGGCCGUAACUGACGCUGAGGAGCGAAAGCAUGGGGAGCGAACAGG
This 253-nucleotide ribosomal RNA is filed under the name uncultured bacterium. RNAcentral describes it as "partial 16S ribosomal RNA". It matches the Rfam family "Bacterial small subunit ribosomal RNA", at positions 524 to 776 of the family's 1533-position model. The record is from RNAcentral.